RNAcentral lists this unclassified non-coding RNA (138 nucleotides) under uncultured Rozellomycota. RNAcentral describes it as "uncultured Cryptomycota sequence contains ITS2". The record is from RNAcentral. Lineage: Eukaryota; Fungi; Rozellomycota.
UCCUCUGCAGCAAUGCGAUUUGACUCGCGUCUUUGUUGACCGAGUUUAAAGAAAGCUAGAGGAUGGUCAGUUUAGACUAGCCCGAGUGCUAAGCAUUCUUGGGUCUAGGCUAGAUUGCUCAUUAUAUCUAUUUUUUAC